AUUUCGGUCGCCCGAAGGGGCGUGAAAAGGGAAGCCGGUGAGAGUCCGGCGCAGUCCCGCUGCUGUAAGCUCGAGAGUUGAGACCCAAUGUGUUAAGCCACUGUGUGCCGCCACAGGCGCAUGGGAAGGCAUGGGUCGGAAGAGCAAGCCAGAAGACCUGCCAAAAUCAUUA
This 172-nucleotide non-coding RNA is filed under the name bovine gut metagenome. The record is from RNAcentral.